This 440-nucleotide ribosomal RNA is filed under the name uncultured bacterium. RNAcentral's name for it is "partial 16S ribosomal RNA". It matches the Rfam family "Bacterial small subunit ribosomal RNA", at positions 338 to 795 of the family's 1533-position model. The record is from RNAcentral.
CCUACGUGUGGCAGCAGUGGGGGAUAUUGCACAAUGGGGGGAACCCUGAUGCAGUGACGCCGCGUGGGUGAAGGAGCGUUUCGGCACGUAAAGCCCUAUCAGCAGGGAAGAAGAUGACGGUACCUGACCAAGAAGCCCCGGCUAACUACGUGCCAGCAGCCGCGGUAAUACGUAGGGGGCAAGCGUUAUCCGGAUUUACUGGGUGUAAAGGGGGCGUAGACGGCAAUGCAAGCCAGGAGUGAAAUCCCGGGGCAAAACCCCGGGACUGCUCUUGGAACUGCAUGGCUAGAGUACAGGAGGGGUAGGUGGAAUUCCUAGUGUAGCGGUGAAAUGCGUAGAUAUUAGGAGGAACACCAGUGGCGAAGGCGGCCUGCUGGACUGUGACUGACGUUGAGGCUCGAAGGCGUGGGGAGCAAACAGGAUUAGAUACCCCGGUAGUC